This 73-nucleotide transfer RNA is filed under the name bacterium. Its description in RNAcentral is "tRNA-Lys". It matches the Rfam family "tRNA". Rfam says of the family: Transfer RNA (tRNA) molecules are approximately 80 nucleotides in length. Their secondary structure includes four short double-helical elements and three loops (D, anti-codon, and T loops). Further hydrogen bonds mediate the characteristic L-shaped molecular structure. tRNAs have two regions of fundamental functional importance: the anti-codon, which is responsible for specific mRNA codon recognition, and the 3' end, to which the tRNAs corresponding amino acid is attached (by aminoacyl-tRNA synthetases). tRNAs cope with the degeneracy of the genetic code in two manners: having more than one tRNA (with a specific anti-codon) for a particular amino acid; and 'wobble' base-pairing, i.e. permitting non-standard base-pairing at the 3rd anti-codon position. The record is from RNAcentral.
GGGCCGUUAGCUCAACUGGCAGAGCAGCGGGCUCUUAACCCGCGUGUUGGGGGUUCGAGUCCCUCACGGCUCA